UACAGCGGGGGCGAGCGUUAAUCGGAAUUACUGGGCGUAAAGCGCACGUAGGUGGCGACGUAAGUCGGGUGUGAAAGCCCCGGGCUCAACCUGGGAAUUGCAUUCGAGACUGCAUUGCUGGAGUACGGAAGAGGGGGGCGGAAUUCCCGGUGUAGCGGUGAAAUGCGUAGAUAUCGGGAGGAACAUCAGUGGCGAAGGCGGCCCUCUGGUCCAGUACUGACACUCAAGUGCGAAAGCGUGGGGAGCAAACAGG
RNAcentral lists this ribosomal RNA (253 nucleotides) under uncultured bacterium. Its description in RNAcentral is "partial 16S ribosomal RNA". It matches the Rfam family "Bacterial small subunit ribosomal RNA", at positions 524 to 776 of the family's 1533-position model. The record is from RNAcentral.